This 403-nucleotide ribosomal RNA is filed under the name uncultured bacterium. Its description in RNAcentral is "partial 16S ribosomal RNA". It matches the Rfam family "Bacterial small subunit ribosomal RNA", at positions 28 to 526 of the family's 1533-position model. The record is from RNAcentral.
GACGAACGCUGGCGGCGUGCCUAAUACAUGCAAGUCGAACGCAGUGGGGACGGGUGAGUAACAUGUGGGUAACCUCCCAUCAGAGGGGGUAACGCUUGGAAACAGGUGCUAAACCGAUAUAGAUGGAUGGAGCCGCGGGGCAUUAGCUAGUUGGUGAGGUAACGGCUUACCAAGGCCAUGAUGCAUAGCCGACCUGCGAGGGUGAUCAGGCCCACGGGGACUGAGACACGGCCCAGACUCUUAGGGAAGGCAGCAGUGGGGAAUCUUCGGCAAAGGACGAAAGUCUGACCGAGCAACGCCACGUGAGUGAAGAAGGUUUUCGGAGCGUAAAGCUCUGUUGUUAGAGAAGCGGUAUCUAACCAGAAAGCCAAGGCUAACUACGUGCCAGCGGACGCGGUAAUAC